Molecule: ribosomal RNA, 253 nt
Filed under: uncultured bacterium
Lineage: Bacteria
Description: partial 16S ribosomal RNA
Rfam family: Bacterial small subunit ribosomal RNA
Source: RNAcentral
UACGUAGGGAGCAAGCGUUGUCCGGAAUCAUUGGGCGUAAAGCGCGCGUAGGUGGCCUCAUAAGUCCGCUGUGAAAGUCAAAGGCUCAACCCUUGAAAGCCGGUGGAUACUGUGAGGCUAGAGUACGGAAGAGGCGAGUGGAAUUCCUGGUGUAGCGGUGGAAUGCGCAGAUAUCAGGAGGAACACCAAUAGCGAAGGCAGCUCGCUGGGACGUUACUGACACUGAGGCGCGAAAGCGUGGGGAGCGAACAGG